GUGCCAGCGCCGGGUAAUACCGGCAGCCCAAGUGAUGGUCGCUGUUAUUGGGCCUAAAGCGUCCGUAGCUGGCCGACCAAGUCUCCCGGGAAAUCCGCCCGCCCAACGGGUGGGCGUCCGGUAGAAACUGGCCGGCUUGGAACCGGAAGGCUCAGAGAGUACGUCCGGGGUAGGAGUGAAAUCCCGUAAUCCCGGACGGACUACCGAUGGCGAAAGCACUCUGAGAAGACGGCUUCGACAGUGAGGGACGAAAGCGCGGGUCUCAAACCGGAUUAGAAACCCAGUAGUCC
This 290-nucleotide ribosomal RNA is filed under the name uncultured bacterium. RNAcentral describes it as "partial 16S ribosomal RNA". It matches the Rfam family "Archaeal small subunit ribosomal RNA", at positions 455 to 747 of the family's 1478-position model. The record is from RNAcentral.